GGUGAGUAACACGUAGGCAACCUGCCCUCAAGCUUGGGACAACUACCGGAAACGGUAGCUAAUACCGAAUACUUGCUUCCUUCGCCUGAAGGGAGCUGGAAAGACGGAGCAAUCUGUCACUUGAGGAUGGGCCUGCGGCGCAUUAGCUAGUUGGUGAGGUAACGGCUCACCAAGGCGACGAUGCGUAGCCGACCUGAGAGGGUGAUCGGCCACACUGGGACUGAGACACGGCCCAGACUCCUACGGGAGGCAGCAGUAGGGAAUCUUCCGCAAUGGGCGAAAGCCUGACGGAGCAAUGCCGCGUGAGUGAUGAAGGUUUUCGGAUCGUAAAGCUCUGUUGCCAGGGAAGAACGUCCUUGAGAGUAACUGCUCAAGGAGUGACGGUACCUGAGAAGAAAGCCCCGGCUAACUACGUGCCAGCAGCCGCGGUAAUACGUAGGGGGCAAGCGUUGUCCGGAAUUAUUGGGCGUAAAGCGCGCGCAGGCGGUCAUUUAAGUCUGGUGUUUAAUCCCGGGGCUCAACCCCGGAUCGCACUGGAAACUGGGUGACUUGAGUGCAGAAGAGGAGAGUGGAAUUCCACGUGUAGCGGUGAAAUGCGUAGAGAUGUGGAGGAACACCAGUGGCGAAGGCGACUCUCUGGGCUGUAACUGACGCUGAGGCGCGAAGCGUGGGGGAGCAAAACAGGGAUUAGAUACCCUGGUAGUUCCACGCCCGGUAAAA
This 720-nucleotide ribosomal RNA is filed under the name Paenibacillus sp. T4B1c.8-B. Its description in RNAcentral is "bacterial SSU rRNA". It matches the Rfam family "Bacterial small subunit ribosomal RNA", at positions 105 to 807 of the family's 1533-position model. Lineage: Bacteria; Bacillati; Bacillota; Bacilli; Caryophanales; Paenibacillaceae. The record is from RNAcentral.